GUGUUCACUUCAUCAGCACAUGUGCUGAAAUUGAAACAAUAUAGAGAAGAAUAGCAUGGCCCCAGCGCAAGGA
RNAcentral lists this small nuclear RNA (73 nucleotides) under Cervus elaphus hippelaphus. The record is from RNAcentral. Lineage: Eukaryota; Metazoa; Chordata; Mammalia; Artiodactyla; Cervidae.